GCCAGACUCCUACGGGAGGCAGCAGUGGGGGAUAUUGCACAAUGGGGGAAACCCUGAUGCAGCGACGCCGCGUGGGCGAAGAAGUAUUUCGGUAUGUAAAGCCCUAUCAGCAGGGAAGAAGAAAUGACGGUACCUGAGUAAGAAGCACCGGCUAAAUACGUGCCAGCAGCCGCGGUAAUACGUAGGGGGCAAGCGUUAUCCGGAUUUACUGGGUGUAAAGGGGGCGCAGACGGCAGCGCAAGCCAGGAGUGAAAGCCCGGGGCCCAACCCCGGGACUGCUCUUGGAACUGCGCGGCUGGAGUGCAGGAGGGGCAGGCGGAAUUCCUGGUGUAGCGGUGAAAUGCGUAGAUAUCAGGAGGAACACCGGUGGCGAAGGCGGCCUGCUGGACUGCGACUGACGUUGAGGCCCGAAAGCGUGGGGAGCAAACAGGAUUAGAUACCCUGGUA
This 447-nucleotide ribosomal RNA is filed under the name uncultured bacterium. RNAcentral describes it as "partial 16S ribosomal RNA". It matches the Rfam family "Bacterial small subunit ribosomal RNA", at positions 330 to 792 of the family's 1533-position model. The record is from RNAcentral.